GGCAUAUAGAAGUUCCCGGGCUAGGGGCUGAAUUGGAGCUACAGCUGCCGACCUACACCACAGAUCAGAGCAGUGCCGGAUCCCUAACCCAGUGAGCAAGGCCAGGAAUCGAACCCAAAUCCUCAUGGAUCCUAGUCAGGAUCAUUAACUGCUGAGCCACGAAGGAAACUCUCCUAGCCACAUUUUUAAACAUGGGGGUGUGUUUUAAAAAUCCAAAUUUCUGGUUUUUCUAAAUACCUGUGACUCAGAUUCACUGGGCUGCAUUGGAGCCCAGAAAUCUGCAUCUUUAACAAGCCACACUAAGUGAUUCUAAUGCACAUGGUCUCUUAACAGGCUGGGAGAGAUGACUGAAGGCACUGUAAGAUGCCACGGCUCCUUCUGAAUCAUUGAAGAACCAUGAAGUGACGUGCCUUCAAAUGUAUUUUGAUGCUUGGAAAGCCGGUAACCCCGUGUGAGUCACAUGUAAUAGCUCUCUGCCAUCCGCAUACCCAAUAGUACAGAAGUAUUCAAAGCCUGAGCAUGUUGGGCAACAGGUAACUCACCUCUGAGUGUCAGAAACGGGUUCUAGAUUCAAUAUUCCCACCGGGAAACAGAGGCCUAGGAAGACUGGCUUCUUGCCUGGUGUCUGCCUGCCCACCGACCAGACCACAUUUCAGAACAUGUGUUCUCAUCUCUCCCGACAGCCUGCCUCUUCCACAGCAGGAGCCACUGUCCUUCUCUGCAGGGUCAGCUCUGAGACCUCCCCAGGGAAGCCCCCCUACCCUCGGAGAAGCCUCCUGAGUCCUGGCAGCUGGAGAGGAGGGAGCUGGGAUGCUGAGAAGACAGCCGAGGGGUCUGUGAGGCUAUUGCAGAGAGGACAGAGGGGGCAGAGCAAGAACGAGUAUUUGAUGCCUGGGAGGGAUGGACUCCACGAGGCCUUCAGGGUGACUAGAUGGGGGCUGCAGUUCUUCAGAGAAAAUAUCCACCGCACUGCGUUGCCAUCUUCUGUUUGCUGGGCAGUCUCUUGUGUGAGAUUUCAAACUCCUUAAGGCCAAGGUUCUUAGUCAUCUGUGUUGGCAUCAGCUCCAAGCACAGAGCUGAAAAGCAGUGGAGUGAUGGAAUAUUGGCACAGGAAGGAAAUGGAAUGACAGCCCCAUCCAUGGAUCAUAUUGUACCCUUCUCAAUCAGAGUGCAACCACACACUCACUCCAGGGCCUGACAGCAGAGACGUAUAUGUAAUUUACACACACACAUAUACAUUAAUUUAUAAAAGUAUAAAUAGUUUUCAUAACUGAUUGUGGCAACCAAAUUUGAGCCUGCUUAAAAUCUUGUGCUAUUACACACUCUUAAAGACUUUGGGGCUGAUCUAAGGAAUUGUGAAUGAUAAAGCGGCAGUUGGUUAGGAGACAAUAUCUGUAAAACUUUCGGCCUUUUCAUUUAAUUAAAAUCCAAUAUCUGAGUGCGCCCACCCAGAUGUAGGUCAGUCCGAAACUAGAAUGUGAAUAGCUUGUGGCACUAGACUCCCAUUCAUGUGUGAAAGGAAAACCAAAACGAAUUGCUAUUGCUGAGCAAGCUCUAAAACGGAGCCAGGAGGCCACUGAGGAAGUGUGACUUAGGUACAUCUCAGCCUGGAUGGAAUCUAAUCCUUUGACUUUUGGGGGGGGGGGCACACUCGCAGCAUAUGGAAGUUCCCAGGCUAGGAGUCGAAUUGGAGGUGCCGGCCUACACCACAGCCACGGCAAUGCCAGACCUGAGCCACAUCUUCGAACUAUACCAUAGUUCACGGCAACGCUGGAUCCUUAACCUGCUGAGCGAGGCCAGGUAUCAAACCCACAUUCUUGUGGAUAAUAGUCGGGCUCAUUACUGCUGAGCCACAACAGGAACUCCCUCCUUUGACUAUUUAUUGUCCUAACAAAGGCAUUCAGAACAUCUGCCCGAAACUCAAGAUCCUGACUGGGGAGUUGUCAUUGUGGCUCAGAGGGUUAAGAACAUGACGUAGUGUCUGUGAGGAUGCAAUUUGGGUUCAAUCCCUGGUCUCACUCAGGGGAUUAAGGAAACAGUGUUGCCGCAAGCUGCAGCAUAGGUUGCAGCCAUGGCUCAGAUCCUGCAUUGGCUGUGGCCUCAGCUGCAGCUCAGAUGCAGCCCCUAGCCAGGAACUUCCACAUGCCAAUUGCAGCCCGUAAAAAGAAGAGAAAAAAAAAAAAA
This 2184-nucleotide long non-coding RNA is filed under the name Sus scrofa (pig). RNAcentral describes it as "lncRNA (ENSSSCG00025065724.1)". The record is from RNAcentral. Lineage: Eukaryota; Metazoa; Chordata; Mammalia; Artiodactyla; Suidae.